UACAGAGGUGCCGAGCGUUAGGCGGAAUCACUGGGCUUAAAGCGUGUGUAGGCGGUCGAUCAAGUCCCUUGUGAAAUCCCACGGCUCAACCGUGGAACCGCUGGGUAUACUGGUUGUCUUGAGCCGGCUAGGGGCGAGCGGAACAGACGGUGGAGCGGUGAAAUGCGUAGAUAUCGUCUGGAACGCCGAAGGUGAAAACAGCUCGCUGGGGCAGCGCUGACGCUGAGACACGAAAGCCAGGGGAGCGAACGGG
This 253-nucleotide ribosomal RNA is filed under the name uncultured bacterium. RNAcentral describes it as "partial 16S ribosomal RNA". It matches the Rfam family "Bacterial small subunit ribosomal RNA", at positions 524 to 776 of the family's 1533-position model. The record is from RNAcentral.